This 529-nucleotide ribosomal RNA is filed under the name uncultured bacterium. Its description in RNAcentral is "bacterial SSU rRNA". It matches the Rfam family "Bacterial small subunit ribosomal RNA", at positions 777 to 1304 of the family's 1533-position model. The record is from RNAcentral.
AAUAGAUACCCGGGUAGCCCACGCCCUAAACGAUGCGAACUGGAUGUUGGGCACACUUAGGUGCUCAGUGUCGAAGCUAACGCGUUAAGUUCGCCGCCUGGGGAGUACGGUCGCAGGACUGAAACUCAAAGGAAUUGACGGGGGCCCGCACAAGCGGUGGAGUAUGUGGUUUAAUUCGAUGCAACGCGAAGAACCUUACCUGGCCUUGACAUGUCCGGAAUCCUGCAGAGAUGCGGGAGUGCCUUCGGGAAUCGGAACACAGGUGCUGCAUGGCUGUCGUCAGCUCGUGUCGUGAGAUGUUGGGUUAAGUCCCGCAACGAGCGCAACCCUUGUCCUUAGUUGCCAGCACGUAAUGGUGGGAACUCUAAGGAGACUGCCGGUGACAAACCGGAGGAAGGUGGGGAUGACGUCAAGUCAUCAGUGGCCCUUACGGCCAGGGCUACACACGUACUACAAUGGUUGGUACAGAGGGUUGCAAUACCGCGAGGUGAGCCAAUCCCAGAAAGCCAAUCUCAGUCCGGAUCGGAGU